UCAGGAUACAAAUGCAUUUUAGACGUUUAACGCCUUUCAAAAAAGACCAUACAAUAGCAAAAUUUAAGCCCUGAUAUCGAUAAAUAUCAGUCUACCGCCCUCUAUUUUAAUUGAACUGAUUUGCUGAUAUUAGAACAUAUCGGUUUGCCGCCCUCUAUAAUAUUUGUCUGCGAAUAUUGAAUGCGGCUGCUGUUGACUGUACUGUACGUAUGUAGUAGCUGUAUUCCUGUUGUUGUGCAGUUUAAGAAGUUUGUUUUACUACUUAAUAAACAUUUAAAAGAUGCUUUAUUCUUUGAUGAUGAUCCACCACUAACAGAGGAACAACAAAUGAAGAGAAGACAUGAAACAUUUAAACAAAUGGUUGACUUCUUUCCAGGUGAGAUGUAACAGAGUUGUAGCAGAUGCUUAGAGUUACAUAAUUGAAUAAUUCAAUUUCAAUUUACAUUUUUUUUAAACUUUUUUUUUACCCAGGACAUAAAAAUAUGUAAAUAAGAUAAUAAACUUA
Anneissia japonica is the source of this 505-nucleotide long non-coding RNA. RefSeq lists it as uncharacterized. The record is from RefSeq and is a predicted model, not a curated record. NCBI's taxonomy places the organism in Eukaryota, Metazoa, Echinodermata, Crinoidea, Comatulida, Comatulidae. The transcript has 2 exons.